CAUAUUUAACGUCAACCAUUCCAGCGGAGGGCCGACCCAUCAUCAAAGAAACUCCUUCUAUCCCUCGAAUUGAGCAAAACCUUCCGCACAUCCUGAGCUAAUCUGCAGUCCCUUAACACAUGAAGCAUAGGUUCCUUUUUCAAAGAACAAUGGUGACAGUGUGGAUCGUCAGUUAAAUUCCCACGCCAUCUAUUCUCAUUCGCCGUCAAUUUAUCAUGAG
RNAcentral lists this long non-coding RNA (220 nucleotides) under Populus trichocarpa (black cottonwood). RNAcentral's name for it is "long non-coding RNA (PTRI_LNC000111)". Lineage: Eukaryota; Viridiplantae; Streptophyta; Magnoliopsida; Malpighiales; Salicaceae. The record is from RNAcentral.